AGAGCGAACGCUGGCGGCAGGCCUAACACAUGCAAGUCGAGCGCCCGUAGCAAUACGGGAGCGGCAGACGGGAUAGUAACACGUGGGAACACGCCCUUCGGUUCGGAAUAACUCAGGGAAACUUGAGCUAAUACCGAAUACGCCCUUACGGGGAAAGAUUUAUUGCCGAAGGAACGGCCCGCGUCCGAUUAGCUAGUUGGUGAGGUAAUGGCUCACCAAGGCUACGAUCGGUAGCUGGUCUGAGAGGAUGACCAACAUCACUGGGACUGAGACACGGCCCAGACUCCUACGGGAGGCAGCAGUGGGGAAUAUUGGACAAUGGGCGAAAGCCUGAUCCAGCCAUGCCGCGUGGAUGAUGAAGGCCUUAGGGUUGUAAAGUCCUUUUAACGGGAAGAUAAUGACGGUACCCGUAGAAUAAGCCCGGCUAACUUCGUGCCAGCAGCCGC
RNAcentral lists this ribosomal RNA (446 nucleotides) under uncultured bacterium. RNAcentral's name for it is "SSU rRNA". It matches the Rfam family "Bacterial small subunit ribosomal RNA", at positions 26 to 518 of the family's 1533-position model. The record is from RNAcentral.